CCAGGUUAGGUAGGCUACCCGCUGAGUUUAAGCAUAUCAAUAAGCGGAGG
RNAcentral lists this ribosomal RNA (50 nucleotides) under Mammillaria rettigiana. RNAcentral's name for it is "partial 26S ribosomal RNA". The record is from RNAcentral. Lineage: Eukaryota; Viridiplantae; Streptophyta; Magnoliopsida; Caryophyllales; Cactaceae.